Schistosoma mattheei is the source of this 45-nucleotide non-coding RNA. The record is from Rfam. Lineage: Eukaryota; Metazoa; Platyhelminthes; Trematoda; Strigeidida; Schistosomatidae.
AUUCAACCGACGAGUCCCAAAUAGGACGAAACGCGUGUCCUGGAU